RNAcentral lists this unclassified non-coding RNA (1078 nucleotides) under Apis florea (little honeybee). RNAcentral describes it as "uncharacterized LOC105734796, transcript variant X2". Lineage: Eukaryota; Metazoa; Arthropoda; Insecta; Hymenoptera; Apidae. The record is from RNAcentral.
UUUUGUUUUCCACAUACGACAGGUGGCGGCGCUUCAUGAGCGUGCCAGAGCGCAUGUGUCAUACCGCAUCCAUAUUGCUUAUUCGCGAAUUGUUCGUGAAACAUGAUCGUCAACCAGUGUGGACACUUCAGCAAAUAGGUUACAGCAAAUUCGUCUACGAGCAACGGACAACGUUGGUAAUAUAUAUCAAGCUAGAUUUACAUUGCUGUUCGCGAAUUAUUCUCAACAAUUCGUAAACUACGUUUCGAACACCGAAGAACACCGUUUUCGAACAAUUUCGUCAAUUAUUUACCGAUGAAUACACGCCUUCAUCAAAGAAUCUCGUUCGCAAAUUCAAAACGUAUUUAAACAUCAACAUUAUUCGCUGCAUGCUAUUGGCUGUUCGCAAGAAUAUCCAUACUAUCGUCGAACAUAAUUUACAAACUGUUGCUUGUGAGCGGCAAUCGUACUAUCACAUUCACGAACACCUCUCAAAACCAAUGUAGACUUAGCAUCAGAACGUGUUGCAUAGCAAUAUAGUCGGUUGCAUUAAAAUACACGAUUUCUACUUCGAUGGAAGGAAUACGCAGGACCAUACAACACGCGGCGUAUAAAACACGCUCGUGUAUCCCUGGCCUAAGGGGUCGUCGCACACAGCGGGUUUCCGCGGUUUUUAAAGGGCAGCGCUUAUUACACAGAUUGGAUUAAAGGUCUGGAGUCUCAUGGACGGUGGAGAGAGAGAAAGAGAGAAAAGCAGGAUAGGAGAAAGGGAGAGAAAGGGGAUAAAAUUGAAGAAGAACGUCGAGAAGAACUUGUUGUUAGAUGAAGAUUGAGAGUUGAAAGAGGGAAGACGUAUGGUCUCGGUUGCAAGUUUAAUGCAGACAUGAAACGCAUUCUAUCGUGUCUGAAUGAUCGGUAGAAAGAUGAUGAUCGAGACGAUGGAAUUGGAGAUAAUUAUUACGGAUCGGAGGAGUUGUUUUGUCUCGGCGCGUAUAUAUGUAACAAUAAAGAGGGAGGCGAAACGCACAGGAGUGAAAUUGUUUUUUGCUAGUCAUGACUUCUAAUAAGGAACAAAAGCCGCCUUUUACAACGGCAUUGA